AUUGAACGCUGGCGGCAUGCCUUACACAUGCAAGUCGAACGGUAACAGGUUAAGCUGACGAGUGGCGAACGGGUGAGUAAUAUAUCGGAACGUGCCCAGUUGUGGGGAUAACUACUCGAAAGAGUGGCUAAUACCGCAUGAGACCUGAGGGUGAAAGCGGGGGAUCGCAAGACCUCGCGCAAUUGGAGCGGCCGAUAUCAGAUUAGCUAGUUGGUGGGGUAAAAGCCCACCAAGGCAACGAUCUGUAGCUGGUCUGAGGAGGACGACCAGCCACACUGGGACUGAGACACGGCCCAGACUCCUACGGGAGGCAGCAGUGGGGUAAUUUUGGACAAUGGACGCAAGUCUGAUCCAGCCAUGCCGCGUGCGGGAUGAA
Molecule: ribosomal RNA, 376 nt
Filed under: uncultured bacterium
Lineage: Bacteria
Description: bacterial SSU rRNA
Rfam family: Bacterial small subunit ribosomal RNA
Source: RNAcentral